UUGAGCUCUUGGGGAAACUGCGUUCA
Molecule: non-coding RNA, 26 nt
Filed under: Rattus norvegicus (Norway rat)
Lineage: Eukaryota; Metazoa; Chordata; Mammalia; Rodentia; Muridae
Source: RNAcentral